CAUCUUCUGUUUCUGAAAGAGCUUGUGUAGGAUUUGUAUUACCUCUUAAAAUGUUGGAAUGUUAAAUGUAGAAGUCAUCAGGGAAGCUAUCUGGCCCCAGAGAUUUCUUCGUGUGAAGCACCAGAUAUAUAUGAAGAGUGUGGGGGAUAGUGCACAUAAGAGGAGUUGCGCUUCACAUUCCUAUUUGGUCACCAAAAGCCAACUCGGACAUCAUUUCUUCUUGGAAGGCAUCUCCACAGGGUGAGGACCUACACUGUGAAUAGCAUAAAGUCUUCAGGGACUAUUCCUGCUUGUGUGAAAGUUUGGUUGAAGCAAAUUUGCAGAUUUAUCCUUCAAGCUCUAUUUGAAAUCAGCAGCAACCAGUCUGCGAGUAGGAAGAAGGUCGAAGCGGGAAAAGCGAAGCGCCGUGUAGACCAACCUCUCCUUUCCUUUGGGGAGAGAGCAGCUUUGGUUCAUGCCGGAGACCAUCUCUUCCUAGUUUGCAAACCGAUAUCACCAAUAAAAUUCUCCUUUCUACUUUUUAGC
This is a non-coding RNA of Microcebus murinus (gray mouse lemur), 525 nucleotides long. Lineage: Eukaryota; Metazoa; Chordata; Mammalia; Primates; Cheirogaleidae. The record is from RefSeq and is a predicted model, not a curated record.